UAGAUACCUGUUUUUUCAAUUGUAGAUCUCCCCUCCGUUUUCCCUACUUCAGGAGGCAUUAGAAGAAUCUGUAUCAAAUGACAAAGAUACCAUCUGCAACUAGUUGGGUAUAGUGGAGUAGGGCUCUUAAUUGAGUUCAUCUAAUCUCACACGACCAUGCCCGCACAAUGAGAGGUUGAAAAGCUUUAGCUCUUAAUUGAGUUCAUCUUUGUGCAUCUAGCCAUAGUUCCUUGCAAGCUUGCUGGUGAUACUGUGACCUGGAGCUGAAGUUAAAGCUCUUCAGUUCAAAGACAUUGCGUUGGAGACAAAGUGAAUGUUCUUUUCUAGCCCCUGUUUUUUGGUGAUGCUUUGGAAGCAUUGUUGAAGUUUUCAGCUUCCAACUGCUUCUUUAUUUCCAUUGGAAUUUCAAACUUUGAUCAUCAAUGUGGGAAUUCAACUAAGUCGACUUACCUGUUAUAGGAUGCGGGUGGCAAAAGACCGGUGCUCUCAUUAACCUCAGAGCUUUCUACAUUGUGGGAAUUCCAACUGUUGUUCUCUUGGCUCUCGUCUUCCAUUUUGGAGGAAAGGUGAGCUUUCAUCUUUCAUGGCUACACCCUUCUUGUAAAGGUUUGCUAAUUCAAUAGAUAAACAGACAUCCCAACACAUGAGAAUGUGGCAUACAUCUCACCGGUUGUCAAAAUAGGCUGAUUCAAUUAGCAAGUUGCUAGCACGUGCUUUGAGUAUCACACAAUGGAGACCAACCAUGGGCACCACAUCUACAAACUUUGACCAUCAAUGUGGGCCACAAUGGUGCUGUAUGCCAUCGAAUCAAUUCAUCUACGGAUUAAUGGAUUCCCCAUAAAUCUGGACAUUCUAAUACUCAUGUGGCCAAAAUCAUGUGAAUUUUAAAGUAUUUAGAGCAUGAUUUUACACCAUUCCCUAU
Magnolia sinica is the source of this 922-nucleotide long non-coding RNA. RefSeq lists it as uncharacterized. Lineage: Eukaryota; Viridiplantae; Streptophyta; Magnoliopsida; Magnoliales; Magnoliaceae. The record is from RefSeq and is a predicted model, not a curated record. The transcript has 3 exons.